CUAUAACCUAUGUUGGGGUGGGCAAACUUUUUGGCCCAAGGGCCACAUCUGGGUAUGGAAGUUGGAUGGUGGGCAUGAAUGCUCACCAAACUGG
Long non-coding RNA from Gopherus evgoodei (Goodes thornscrub tortoise), 94 nucleotides. RefSeq lists it as uncharacterized. NCBI's taxonomy places the organism in Eukaryota, Metazoa, Chordata, Testudines, Testudinidae. The transcript is spliced from 3 exons. The record is from RefSeq and is a predicted model, not a curated record.